GAUGAAGAACGUAGCGAAAUGCGAUACUUGGUGUGAAUUGCAGAAUCCCGUGAACCAUCGAGUCUUUGAACGCAAGUUGCGCCCGAAGCCAUCAGGUUGAGGGCACGUCUGCCUGGGCGUCACAUAUCGUUGCCCAAUGCCUAUUGCAGUGCAAUAGGAAUUUCUAGGGCGAAUGAUGGCUUCCCGUGAGCGUUGUUGCCUCGCGGUUGGUUGAAAAUCGAGUCCUUGGUAGGGUGUGCCAUGGUAGAUGGUGGUCGAGUUAGAACGAUACCGAUCAUGUGCAUGCUCCCCAUAAUAUGGCCUCUAUGACCCACACGCGUCUUUUGACGCACAUGACGAGACCUCAGGUCAGGCGGGGCUACCCGCUGAAUUUAAGCAUAUCAAUAAGCGGAGGA
RNAcentral lists this unclassified non-coding RNA (395 nucleotides) under soil metagenome. Its description in RNAcentral is "partial contains 5.8S ribosomal RNA, internal transcribed spacer 2, and large subunit ribosomal RNA". The stretch from base 1 to 122 matches the Rfam family "5.8S ribosomal RNA", at positions 35 to 154 of the family's 154-position model. The record is from RNAcentral.